UACAGAGGAUGCAAGCGUUAUCCGGAAUGAUUGGGCGUAAAGCGUCCGCAGGUGGUUUUGUAAGUCUGCUGUUAAAGCGUGUGGCUCAACCACAUAAGGGCAGUGGAAACUAUGAGACAGAGUAUGUUAGGGGUAGAGGGAAUUCCCAGUGUAGCGGUGAAAUGCGUAGAGAUUGGGAAGAACACCGGUGGCGAAAGCGCUCUGCUAGGCCGCAACUGACACUGAGGGACGAAAGCUAGGGGAGCGAAUGGG
RNAcentral lists this ribosomal RNA (252 nucleotides) under uncultured bacterium. Its description in RNAcentral is "partial 16S ribosomal RNA". It matches the Rfam family "Bacterial small subunit ribosomal RNA", at positions 524 to 776 of the family's 1533-position model. The record is from RNAcentral.